Molecule: ribosomal RNA, 375 nt
Filed under: Phrynopus heimorum
Lineage: Eukaryota; Metazoa; Chordata; Amphibia; Anura; Strabomantidae
Description: partial 12S ribosomal RNA
Rfam family: Bacterial small subunit ribosomal RNA
Source: RNAcentral
CCUCAUCGCCAGGAUACUACGAGCUAAGCUUAAAACCCAAAGGACUUGACGGUGCCCCACAUCCCUCUAGAGGAGCCUGUCCUAUAAUUGAUACCCCUCGCUAAACCUCACCAUUCUUUGCCCCUCUCAGCUUGUAUACUUCCGUCGUCAGCUAACCACAUGAGUGAACUCCAGUAAGCCCAAUGCCCAUACGCCAAAACGUCAGGUCAAAGUGCAGUAAAUAGAAUGGGAACAGAUGGGCUACAUUUUCUAAGUUAGAAAAUAACGAAAGACUCCGUGAAACCAGAGUCAGAAGGCGGAUUUAGAAGUAAAAAGAAAUCAGAGUGUUCUUUUUAACUCGGUACUGGGGCGUGUACACACCGCCCGUCACCCUCA